UGUGACCCACACCAGUCCACUAACACCCAGGAUGUGACCCACACCAGUCCACUAACACCCAGGAUGUGACCCACACCAGUCCACUAACACCCAGGAUGUGACCCACACCAGUCCACUAACACCCAGGAUGUGACCCACACCAGUCCACUAACACCCAGGAUGUGACCCACACCAGUCCACUAACACCUGGGUACCUGUUUUACUGAUACACGAACAGGGACAGCAGGUGUCUUAGGGAAACACUUGACUGAGUAGCCAGUUGUUCAGGCAAAAUAUUUUGGCAAUAAAGAUAGUGUAUAAUAAUAAUAUGAUACAAAUACUAACUGCUUCUCUUAAUCAUGUGAAGUCCACUAUCAGAUCCAUACUUUUUAAACAUGCAGCAAGCAUAAAUAUUAGAAAAAUGGGCAGGACAUGGGAAUGACACAGUGACAUGGACAUUACAAGCACGUCUUUAACCUGAGUGGUCAGGAAGUUGAAUGAUUUAGAUGAGCUGAUGAAAACAAACACUGUUCAUAGCUUUAAGCAUAGGUAUGAUGGGGCCCAUGAGGUAUGCAGGAAACAAAACCAGUGGUAUGCAGUAAAUAGGCUGGGUCAGAAGUAGAGGGUGCGCCAAAAUAUCGAUAUUAGUGGGUAUAGCUAAAUUUUGAUGGUAUCGUCUUACAGCUAGGUAUUGGUAUCAGUUAAUUUUGAUGGUAUCUGCUUGCAAUUGAGUAUCAGUAUUGGCUAAUUUUGAUGGGAUCAGCAUUGGCCUAAAACUGAGGGUCAAUAUUGGUACUAACAAAAUUUUUGACAUUGUCCCAUCACUGGUCAGAAGUGGGGACUCUGCCUCAUUAUUCACAAAAAUCUUUGUAAAAAGUAUCCUGUUAAUCUGUGCUCUCCCCAGCAAUUCAUUUACACAUUUUACUAACCCUAUUUCAUUGUUAGGGUUUAUUUGACAGCUGCAACAUAACCCACUGGCUUCCUCAGGUAAUCCUAGGUAAUCCAAAAAGGAAAACACAUUCAUCAGCAUUUAUUCAGUUGCAUUUUUCCCGAAGUGUGCUGAUAUCGCACUUGGAUUACCCUCUGACUGCAACUUCCUCACCCAUCAUCAUUAAUGAUUAAAAUUCAUGUGCUGUAACCUAUUUCACUAUUUGUUAGCUUAAGGUUUGCCUAAAGGAUUGAGUAAUACUGUACAGAGGUUACAAAAAUAGGUAUUAGUUAUGUAAUGAAUGAACAUGCCAGUAGACUGUAUAUUUGUAAAUAAAAAGUUUGUAUGAUAGUGGUGUUUAUUCUUCAGGAAACAAUAAUGUCUCCUGACAGGAGUCCUGAUCAGAUGAUGACCCAUCAUUGGGUAAGCAUCUGCUGGCACACCCCAGCUAGGUUUUACAUCCAUUUAAAAAACAAAGAUUAAAAUAUUAAAGAUUUUAUUUCUUUGCAAAGGCUACAAUAUGUAGGGAUAUAUGUAUUAAAGGUAGGGAUAUAUAUAUUAACCCUUAAAUGGUCCAAACGUAUAUAUACGUUUUUUCAACAUCUGAAAGUACGUAAAAAAAAUGUAGAUCUCUUUUGUUUUACAUUUGAAAACGUGUAAAAAACCCCUUUUAUCUAUAUUUUUUUUUAUUAUAUUUGAAAAUAUGUAAAAAAAAGUAGAUCUACUUUUGUAGCACUACGAAUUUGAACGUCGAUCCGUUUGGACCGUUUAAGGGUUAAAGAGUGGUAUAGGGUAAGGAGUGUUGUUUGGGGUGCAUAGUAUCGUAUCUUGGAAAGGCUGCCUACUGAUUUGGAAAUUUUCUUGGGUAUAUGCUGGAAGUGGAAAUGAAAUUUAAGAUUACAGUCAAGGAGAAGACUAGGAAUUUACCCUCAGUGUAUCCUAAGAUAACCAUAUGCAUAUUCUAAGGAUUUAGGGACCUGAAUUUCCAUGACCCACAAUUACAUUCUGACCUAACAGAGUGGUUGUCAAAGAGUGUGUAUACUUAGGACUGACUUUUUUGAAAUAGAAAGCUGCAUGACUCACAAGAUCAUAAUGUAAUAUCAAACAAACCACAGAACAGGUGGGCUUUGAUCCCAUGGCAAGUGAGUUUUAGGACUCACCAUGGGUUGAACCCCCACCCAUUAAUCAUCUGGAAUAACAGCUUGCACACGUGUGGGAUAGUUAAGGCUGUAAACCUGUGUUACUUGGCUACGAAAAAAAACAUUCACUAUCGUCUCUUUGGAAAUCCACUCAUAGUCCCCAUGGAAUCCUUGCAGUACCAGGAUGAUGAUGAAUUGCAUGCAAUGCAUGGGUGUCUAUCUGAAGAUGUUUUGGCAACCAGGGGCUUAAAUGAGUGUCAGUGCUGUAUGACCCUAGUGAGUUUAGUGCUUAGUUUUGUUAAUAAUAAUAAAAGAAUAUGCAGAUUAUUUACAAAAACACUAGAGUUUGAGGUAACCAGUCUCUCAGCCUGGCAGAACUAUACACAUAAGAUAAUGGAAGAUGAAGUAAUCAAUUCUUCAACCUUGAAGGCAGUGUUCAGUACCUUAGUCUUAAUUACUAGACUAAGGGUCUUAUUACCUCCUCUUUUACUGUCUUACCUGUCAUCUGUGUAUCCAUAAAGCUACCAGUUGGCAAAAAUGCCUUCAAGGAAAGAUACUCAGUUGUUGCACAUGCCUUGCAUCAAAUCUGAUCCCCCCCCCUUUCCUUCCAUUCCCCUUGUGUUGUAUGCCUCCACUGCACUGUAUGACCUUGUAUGUUUAUAUUAUAAUGUAUGCUUCCUACAGGUUUAGUGCUUCCCCAUGAAAACAAUAAUCCAUAAAAGAAUUAGCCUUCAUUAACAAUGUAACUGAAGGAAUACUUCAGGCUUGGCAUGUCUUCACUAUUGCCAUCAGUUUCGUACUUUAAUCCAGCCAAUGUUUACACAUAACAUUAGGUAGCUCUAUAUAUUAACUUUGUAAUUUUCUUCUAUGAGGUUGGAAAAUACAAUGUUCUAAAACAGUAGUUUAGAAAAAAAAAUUAGAAUCAUAUACUCUUAAGGUUAAAUACUAACAAGCUAUGAAUUAUAAAUAUAAAUUUUGAUUUCUUUUUUAUGGUGCCCCAUGGCCUGGUGGCAAAAACUCUUGCUUCACACAGUAAGGGUCUGGGUUCGAUUCCCAGUGAAGGGGUGGAAACAUUGGGCGUGUUUCUUUACACCAGCUGUCUAUGUUCACCCAUCAGUAAAAUGGGUACCUGGGUGUUAGUCAACUGGUGUGGGUCACAUCCUGGGACAAAACUGACCUAAUUUGCCCAAAAUGCUCAGCAUAACAAGGGACUUUCUAUAUACAGUGGAACCUCUACUUACAAGUUUAAUCCAUCCCAUGACCUUGCUCGCAUCUGGAUUUGCUCGUUUACAGAGUCAAUUUUCCCCCUUUAAAUUAACUGAAAUGGAAUUAAUGCGUUCCGGUGGAAUUCCAGGCAUGACAGAAUAUUUCAUUAUUUCCCUAAUAUCAACUCUACAGCUCAUUUAUCUAUCACAGUUCAUCUAAUAUGACAUAAUAAACAAUAUUAAUAACAGACACAUGAUAUAUAUGCUAGAACGAAUAAAAUACAUGUCAUUACGUAUGUGGCUAGUGAUGGUGACAGCGGCCAUUGUUGUUGUUGGGGUUUAUAGGGCCACCACAGCGGCCAUUCCUGCUCCUGACUACAUGUGUAGAGAACCUAGGAUAACCCAAAAAAAGUCAGACAGAGUGACUUAUAAUCGCUACUCUCUUAAUGCUACACUUAAUUGCUACACUCUUAAUGCUACACUUAAUUGCUACACUCUUAAUGCUGCACUUUGUCACUGACUCCUGCUUUCGUAUUGUACAUAUUGUAGAAGUGGUACACUGGUACUACCUGGCCAAAUCUUUAACCCUCCACCUAGUUUGUUUAUCUAUUAUUUCCUGCUUUAUUUCCAUGGAAAUCAUCCUCUUUUUCUUCUCAGCACUGUCUUUUGCACUUGCUUUCUUAGGAUUCAUGGUUAGAAGCAAGAAAUAACUGCACGAAACAUAAGAAAAACACGAGAAUUCCCUCCACUGAGAGUGGAGUGGACUGAGCAUUGUUGUGAUACAUACUGCCAGCUCAUGGUGGCAUUUGGAAACUCACUUAUAGUAUUGGGUACAACAAGGUUGCUACCAGGGUACAACAAGGUUGCUACCAAGGUACAACAAGGUUGUUUUCGAGGUACAAGGUCUGCCAUUGCUGCUUCAUAUUGUCUGCCACUGCUGCUUCAUGAUGUCUUCAACUGCUGCUUCAUAUCUACCACUGCUACCUCAUGUUGUCUGCAACUGCUACUUCAUGUCUACCACUUUUGCCUCAUAUUGUCUGCCACUGCUGCUUCAUGUUGUCUGCCACUGCUACCUCACAAUGUCUGCUCCCACUUUUGCUAGAGUGUUGAAGAGCUUUCCAAUAUGUGAAGGUUGAGGGGCAGUGCCAAUUGGACAAGUAUUGGACGGUGACAUCAUUUGUUUAUUCUUGAACAGUGCCAAAGAGUCGAACAUUUCUGCUACUUUGAGCUCAAUUUCAAGGUACUUUUCAUCAUGAAACCAAUUAAAAUCAUAUCUAUUUCUGUAGUAUAUCUUCGAUUAUAUUAAAUGAGACCAAAAAACAAGAAUACAACCAUAAAAACCACGCAAAAAUAUACUGCUAAGGGAAGGCUAAUGGCUGAAAAGUGAACUCCAUUAUUUAAGGUCCAAUUUCUUUCAGUUUUGGUGUAUGUUAAGAAGCAUCUUUCCAUCAUACAUUGCCCAAGUUUCAAUAAGAUAGUCCAACAAACAACUAGAUCAAGAGCAAGAGCUCCUCACCAGUGUCAAGGAACCUCCCUUGAGGCCCACUCACAUCCGGAAAUUUUGCUCAUGUCUGGAAGCAAAAAAUCAACUAAGUGACUGCUCAUAUCUGGAAAAGCUCGCAUGUUGGGGCACUUGUAAGUAGAGGUUCCACUGUAAUAGUAUGUCAUUGAUGUCAGCCAUGGUCUGUAUAUCUUGUACAUGUACUUGUAGAAAUAAAGAUAUUAUUAUUAUUAUUAUUAUUAUUAUUAUUAUUAUUAUUAUUAUUAUUAUUAUUAUUAUUAUUAUUAUUAUUAUUAUUAUUAUUACAAAAGUAAUGUAGUUUACCUGUAAUAAAACAAUGUUAGGCACAAAAGAAAGCCACUGAUAUGCAAUGCAUUUCCAGCAAACUAAUCCUAAUGUCAUGAUGGUAUGAAACAAUUUAUUGCAAAGAAGGCUAAAAUGAAUAACAACAAUGAAUGGCAUAACAGAGAAUAAAACAAUCUGCAUUAACUGCAGCCCCACAUUACCCUGCCCAUACAAAUAAAUUUUUAUUUAUGGGGUACAAAAAUAAUGUAGUUUACAUGUAAUAAUAUGCUGUCAGGCACAAAAAACAGCCACUAGUGUGCAAUGCAUUUCAGGCAAACUAAUUUUAAUGCUUCAAGACUAUUUAAGAAUUAGACAUAGACUGUUAAGUAGGAUUUCUUAUGCAGUUAAUAACUGUACACCAUAAAAUGACUUUCAGGUUUAGCAUUCCCCAUGAAUAAAUAAUUUUAACAUGAUGGCCAGUUUUCCCUGAGGGAGAGUGACUCCAAGAUGGUUCACGUGUCGUGUACAUAUGCAGUAUUGAAAAGUGAGGAAUUUUAAUACAAGACUCAAGAAAAUACUCAAUCAUUCAGCAGUUAAUACCAAUGGUGCUUUUAAAAAAAAACUAACAGAAUGGAAACCUUUUAUAAGACAAUGAUUCACAGUAGAGACCAAAUUUUUUAAGCUUCUUCUUAUACACUUAUAUUUUCCAGUCACUUUCAUAUGGGAUUGUAGGAGAGCACAGAGAAUAAUUAUCACUCUGAUACCACUAGUAACAGCCUUUUAAUCUCUUCCACAUUAAUGAUAUCUGAGAACACAUCUAAGCUACUUAAGAAAAGCACAAGUUUCACCAUCUAAUAACAUGGUCAUUUUUUGUUUAUAAUCAACCUGAGCUUUGCUCAGACCUCUGCAACAUAGUUAUCCUUGAAGAUUUAAGUCAGACAAUGAAUUAAGGAAAGAUCGUAGACUUCACCUUACAAAAGCAGACAAAGCAAAUGCACUAGUAAUUAUAGAAAAGGUAGAUUAUAGUGCAAAAAUUAACAUGUUACUAGGAGACAGAGAAACUGACGCCCUCCUUAAGAAUAGUCGGUUACAUUACCUAAAAUCAUCCCCACUAUUGUCAAGAAUAUUACUAGAAAUGUGAGGAUUAAUACUAACCUCAAGGAGUUAGUUUAAUGACUUUAUACUAUCUUUAUUAAUCACCUCAUUCCCAUGGUGUGGGCAGUAGUCAAAAUAUUACAGAGGCACAUCAUGGGACUGGGCAUCAAUGUUACAGUGUUAGUUUAAUUAGUUUAAUAUAUUUAUUAUGCACCCCAUACCCAUCCAGUGGGCAGUAGUCAAAAGAUUACAGAGGUACAUAAUGAGUCCAGGGACUGGGCCCCAAAGUUUUGAUAGCUGAACUAGUUACAAAGGUAAUGAACUCCAGGUAGAUCUGGUCACAAUCAUGACAAGUUAUAAAGGUAUUUGCAGCUUACAGAGGUACAUAAUGGGUCCAGGGACUGGUAAUGAACUGUUUACAUAUUUAUAUCUGGUUACAAUCAUAAUGAGUUAUUUAUGCACUCAUCAAUUAGGUCACACACAAAAAAAAUACAAAAACAUUACCUUAUAUUUUAGCAUGGUAUGCCUGAAAUAAAAAGUGUUUAUGUGGUUAUACAUUAUUUACAGCGGCAAUAAUGCAUAACCAUUUAAUCCCCCCUAAGGAUAAUGCAACACUAAUUAUGUAGAUACAUUUAGCAUAAACUAAUUAUAAGGUUUACCAACUGCUUAUAUCUAGACCUAGAAUAAAAUUUAAGUUGGUAUAACUUGGGUAAUUCAUUAUAAUCAUAUGUACUAUGAGACAGGUUGCAAGUGAAGAAUUGGUCAAUUACAUCAGUUCAAUGACCUGCAUGUUAUGAUGUGGUUGAACUGGGGUGUUGAAAUCAAAGCAUUUACAGACAGCCAAUGGAUAUAUCAUAUAUGUAAGAUUUAAUUGGCACUUUUUAACAAAACCAAGAUGUUGGCAGAUGGGAAACUUUCGGAAUUUUCAGGCAGAAAGUUCUAAAUUUUAGAGCCUUUUAUCUGCAUGGAGUUUUAUUUGAAUAGAUUGAGUCAACCAUGUAGAAUGUCAGAAAGAUACUUGUUCUAUGUAUUGUGAAAAUGUGUUCUAUUGUAACUCUGCAAAUAGAAUUUAAGCUCUGGGUUAAUGUUUGUAUUGAGUGUCCUAUAGAUAUAACUGACACAGUAGAAAGUGUGAAUAUUGUGUAGGUUGAUUAAAUCUAGACUUUGGAAUAAGGGGGAUGUGUUGUCUGGAGCUUAAAUGAGUAAUAAUGCUGAGAGCAGAUUUUUACUAAGUAACAACAUUUUUAAGGUAACAAUAUGUUGUUGUUGCCCAUAUGUGAAGUAUGGAGAGAUCAGAGAGUAGUUCAAAGUGAUCAGGGAUGUUUGGAGCACAUAAUAGUGCAUUUCUGAGAGAAUGCCCACUGUUCUAGAAAUUUUAUUAGAAAUGUUCUUCUCUCUAUAGAUUUGAAAAGCUUGGUUCCCUUCACAAAACAUUAUCUCGAUAAAGGUUUUCACUGCCAUAAAGUGUUUUCGUUAAACCUAUGAAAGAUAUAGGGCAAUACAGUUUAACCAAUAUUUUGAAAUAUACUAUAAGUAUAUAUGUACAGAAAUAAUUUUUUGUAAUAAAAAGAUAAAUUUA
This is a non-coding RNA of Cherax quadricarinatus, 7711 nucleotides long. NCBI's taxonomy places the organism in Eukaryota, Metazoa, Arthropoda, Malacostraca, Decapoda, Parastacidae. The record is from RefSeq and is a predicted model, not a curated record.